RNAcentral lists this ribosomal RNA (253 nucleotides) under uncultured bacterium. RNAcentral describes it as "partial 16S ribosomal RNA". It matches the Rfam family "Bacterial small subunit ribosomal RNA", at positions 524 to 776 of the family's 1533-position model. The record is from RNAcentral.
UACGAAGGGGGCUAGCGUUGCUCGGAAUCACUGGGCGUAAAGGGUGCGUAGGCGGCUCUUUAAGUCGGAGGUGAAAUCCUGGAGCUCAACUCCAGAACUGCCUUCGAUACUGAAGAGCUCGAGUCCGGGAGAGGUGAGUGGAACUGCGAGUGUAGAGGUGAAAUUCGUAGAUAUUCGCAAGAACACCAGUGGCGAAGGCGGCUCACUGGCCCGGUACUGACGCUGAGGUGCGAAAGCGUGGGGAGCAAACAGG